UCAAAUGGAAGUAGCUGGUAUUACCUGA
RNAcentral lists this small RNA (28 nucleotides) under Bombyx mori (domestic silkworm). Its description in RNAcentral is "ovarian small RNA-24499". The record is from RNAcentral. Lineage: Eukaryota; Metazoa; Arthropoda; Insecta; Lepidoptera; Bombycidae.